This 71-nucleotide transfer RNA is filed under the name Ictidomys tridecemlineatus (thirteen-lined ground squirrel). RNAcentral describes it as "Spermophilus tridecemlineatus (thirteen-lined ground squirrel) tRNA". It matches the Rfam family "tRNA". From Rfam's summary of the family: Transfer RNA (tRNA) molecules are approximately 80 nucleotides in length. Lineage: Eukaryota; Metazoa; Chordata; Mammalia; Rodentia; Sciuridae. The record is from Rfam by way of RNAcentral.
GGGGUUGUGGCUCAGUGGUAGAGUGCUUGCCUAGCAUGCAUGAGACACUGGGUUCGAUCCUUGGAACCACA